CACGCAUGGCUCGUGAGGCGUCCGGACUGGCCCAGAGAGGUGGGCAACUACCACUCAGGGCCGGAAAGCUCUCCAAACUCGGUCAUUUAGAGGAAGUAAAAGUCGUAACAAGGUCUCCGUUGGUGAACCAGCGGAGGGAUCAUUACCGAGUUUACAACUCCCAAACCCCUGUGAACAUACCACUUGUUGCCUCGGCGGAUCAGCCCGCUCCCGGUAAAACGGGACGGCCCGCCAGAGGACCCCUAAACUCUGUUUCUAUAUGUAACUUCUGAGUAAAACCAUAAAUAAAUCAAAACUUUCAACAACGGAUCUCUUGGUUCUGGCAUCGAUGAAGAACGCAGCAAAAUGCGAUAAGUAAUGUGAAUUGCAGAAUUCAGUGAAUCAUCGAAUCUUUGAACGCACAUUGCGCCCGCCAGUAUUCUGGCGGGCAUGCCUGUUCGAGCGUCAUUUCAACCCUCAAGCACAGCUUGGUGUUGGGACUCGCGUUAAUUCGCGUUCCUCAAAUUGAUUGGCGGUCACGUCGAGCUUCCAUAGCGUAGUAGUAAAACCCUCGUUACUGGUAAUCGUCGCGGCCACGCCGUUAAACCCCAACUUCUGAAUGUUGACCUCGGAUCAGGUAGGAAUACCCGCUGAACUUAAGCAUAUCAAUAAGCGGAGGAAAAGAAACCAACAGGGAUUGCCCUAGUAACGGCGAGUGAAGCGGCAACAGCUCAAAUUUGAAAUCUGGCUCUCGGGCCCGAGUUGUAAUUUGUAGAGGAUACUUUUGAUGCGGUGCCUUCCGAGUUCCCUGGAACGGGACGCCAUAGAGGGUGAGAGCCCCGUCUGGUUGGAUGCCAAAUCUCUGUAAAGUUCCUUCAACGAGUCGAGUAGUUUGGGAAUGCUGCUCUAAAUGGGAGGUAUAUGUUCUUCUAAAGCUAAAUACCGGCCAGAGACCGAUAGCGCACAAGUAGAGUGAUCGAAAGAUGAAAAGCACUUUGAAAAAGAGACUUAAAAAGUACGUGAAAUUGUUGAAAGGGGAAGCACUGGGGCUCGUACUACAUAUCAAAUUCUUCUAACUCUACACGCACCUCCCUCCACCACCCCCCCCCUCCCCGUCCUCACU
This 1102-nucleotide ribosomal RNA is filed under the name Fusarium oxysporum. RNAcentral's name for it is "eukaryotic LSU rRNA". The stretch from base 603 to 1102 matches the Rfam family "Eukaryotic large subunit ribosomal RNA", at positions 1 to 469 of the family's 3401-position model. The record is from RNAcentral. Lineage: Eukaryota; Fungi; Ascomycota; Sordariomycetes; Hypocreales; Nectriaceae.